RNAcentral lists this transfer RNA (91 nucleotides) under Pseudomonadota bacterium. RNAcentral describes it as "tRNA-Ser". It matches the Rfam family "tRNA". From Rfam's summary of the family: Transfer RNA (tRNA) molecules are approximately 80 nucleotides in length. Their secondary structure includes four short double-helical elements and three loops (D, anti-codon, and T loops). Lineage: Bacteria; Pseudomonadati; Pseudomonadota. The record is from RNAcentral. RNAcentral also lists the same sequence under 1 other name.
GGAGAGGUGCCAGAGUGGUUGAAUGGGCCGGUCUCGAAAACCGGUAUGGGCCUAUGGUCCAUCGAGGGUUCGAAUCCCUCCCUCUCCGCCA